UACGUAGGGGGCAGGCGUUGUCCGGAAUCAUUGGGCGUAAAGCGCGUGUAGGCGGCCAGAAAAGUCCGCUGUGAAAACUCGAGGCUCAACUUCGAGCUGUCGGUGGAAACUUUCUGGCUAGAGUCCGGAAGAGGAGAAUGGAAUUCCUGGUGUAGCGGUGAAAUGCGCAGAUAUCAGGAAGAACACCCGUGGCGAAGGCGGUUCUCUGGGACGGUACUGACGCUGAGACGCGAAGGCGUGGGGAGCGAACAGG
This 253-nucleotide ribosomal RNA is filed under the name uncultured bacterium. RNAcentral's name for it is "partial 16S ribosomal RNA". It matches the Rfam family "Bacterial small subunit ribosomal RNA", at positions 524 to 776 of the family's 1533-position model. The record is from RNAcentral.